UACGGAGGGGGCAAGCGUUGUUCGGAAUUACUGGGCGUAAAGCGCACGUAGGCGGUUUGGCAAGUCAAGUGUGAAAUUCCACGGCUCAACUGUGGAGCUGCGCUUGAAACUGCCAAACUUGAGGCCAGUAGAGGGAGACGGAAUUGCCGGUGUAGGGGUGAAAUCCGUAGAUAUCGGCAAGAACGCCGGUGGGGAAGCCGGUCUCCUGGGCUGAGCCUGACGCUCAUGCACGAAAGCGUGGGGAGCAAACAGG
RNAcentral lists this ribosomal RNA (253 nucleotides) under uncultured microorganism. Its description in RNAcentral is "partial 16S ribosomal RNA". It matches the Rfam family "Bacterial small subunit ribosomal RNA", at positions 524 to 776 of the family's 1533-position model. The record is from RNAcentral.